CUCCAGGCAUGUUUAACAUUCACUUGAUACAAUUCCGUUAAAAGAAAAAAGUUAAAGUACUCAAAAAAAAAAAGGAACAGAAAAUUUUCCAAUCAAUUAUGAAAUUAGAAAUAUUUUCUCGUAGUAAAAACAUCACUUACAUCACCAAACAACAAAAAUUAUUGUCAAGAUUUGUGGUUGGAGGGAUACAGAUCAUCAUUACGAGCUUCUCCUUGUGUGACUCCUACUGGUUUUUUGUUGUUCCAUUUCUCAAUCUCCUUCACCAAUAGCCCUAUUUCUUCAC
RNAcentral lists this long non-coding RNA (283 nucleotides) under Salvia miltiorrhiza (redroot sage). RNAcentral's name for it is "long non-coding RNA (SMIL_LNC008852)". Lineage: Eukaryota; Viridiplantae; Streptophyta; Magnoliopsida; Lamiales; Lamiaceae. The record is from RNAcentral.